Non-coding RNA from Carica papaya (papaya), 1031 nucleotides. The record is from RefSeq and is a predicted model, not a curated record. NCBI's taxonomy places the organism in Eukaryota, Viridiplantae, Streptophyta, Magnoliopsida, Brassicales, Caricaceae.
AGAACCAAAUUAAAUUUUCUGAAACUAAACAACAUUUAGUUUCUUGAUAUUUUCCGCUACACUCCCUGUUUAGUUAAGUAAAAAUGCCACUGAAAAUGAGGAAAAAACAUACCAGCCAAUGUCCGAAUUAUUGCAGAAAAAGCAAGCAUUAACUAAUGGCCACAGAAAAUAGAGUAAAAAAUUCAGAUUAAUCCCUCUUACUAUUUUCUGAGUUACUUGGAAAGAAAUGAACAAUAAAACUUUUAAAGAAAUUUCCUAUAACUAGACUACCCCUAAAAAUUCAGAAAGAAAUGAACUUGCUGAGUAAGCAGGACAUAGACAUGGAAAAUACAGACGGCAUAAUAUUCCAAGAAAUCAUUUGUUCUCUAAUUUUAGUCCUACCUAAGUACCUAUUUCUUGCUUGCAUAGAAUUGAUGAGCAUCUUCGGGAGUCGUGGUCCAUUGUUAUUCCGCAGUUCCUGUGCUUUUUUUUUUUCUCCUUUUUAAUAAUAUUAUUCUUUUAGGUGGACAUAAGGGUUGCACCUGGAACUCAUGCAACUGAAGCUGCAGUUAAUAAGCAACUCAAUGAUAAAGAACGUGUGGCAGCAGCUUUGGAGAACCCAAACCUUGUGGACAUGGUUGAUGAAUGCCUGGCUCCAUCAUACGGUUGAACAUCCUUCAAGUCAGAACUUCUGGUUCACACUAUACAUUUUUUAUUUCCACAAUUUAGGGCGUAUUUAGUUGAUCUUAAGAUAAAAGCAUAACUUUGGAAAGAACACAGGGUAUUAUUAUUUUUUCUCACUAGGAUUUAAUCUGCUUUUUCUCAUUAGGGUUUUUGUUAGGCUCUGUAUAAUUAAUUCCUUGCUCUCUCGCAUCUCUAUGUGAGGGCAUACCGACUUAAAUCUGAAUAGUUUUUAUUUUUAAAAUUAAAAAAAAAAAGUUUAAAAUAAGGUUGAAUUGUGUUUGAAAAGCAGUGAGAUUUUGUGAUUUUUAUUUAGGGAAGAAGGACAGUUUAGUGGUUAAGAAAAGUCAUAAAUGUAGACAAAGGUUCCA